CAGAAGUGAUGGCUGAGUUGGUUGUGAGGCAUAAAGAAUCUAAGGUACUAAGUAUAUUCCUAUCUGAGAUCAGAUUAUUUGUUCAAUAUGUUGAUGAUAUAAGUAUAAUUUGGAGGCACAACGAGGAUGUCCAUCAGCUUGUAGAUAUGUUAAUGGAUGAUACACUAGAGCUUACCCUGAGAAUAAAACAGAAUAGUACUACAGCCUUCCAUUUUUUAGAUGUGCAUCUUGGAUCUUGAAAUCAAAUGACAAUGUAAAGUUAAAAAAAAAAAAGAACAGAUAGCAAGACAAAUACUUCUAACCUGAUGCCAAU
This 313-nucleotide long non-coding RNA is filed under the name Androctonus crassicauda. The record is from RNAcentral. Lineage: Eukaryota; Metazoa; Arthropoda; Arachnida; Scorpiones; Buthidae.